UACCCUGGCACAUGCUUUGUCCAAUGGACCAUGGAAGGGACUUUACUUGGCUGACGAGGACGCACCUCACCAGUAUCAGAGCAACAGCUGUGGGGUGUUUAUGCUGAUGGUGAGAUGCAUUAUUUUCAGAAAUGAUGACUAGUUUGCAAAACAACUAACUCAUUUGUAUGUUAAUUUCAGUACGCAAUGUAUUCUACCCUCAAAAGCAAUAUGAUUUCGGUGAGGUGAGUUCUUUCAAAUCUCAAUCAGAUGUGUAGCAUGAAAUAUAAGGCUUUUAAUAAUUUAGUCAUCCUUACUGGAGGCUACAAUUAACAUGCAUCAUAGGUCAUACACAUUACUUUGUCUUCAGGUACUGCACUUACGGGAGGAGAUGGCUACAUCUUCACAAUAAUUUACACUGCCAUAGUACACUGCUAAACAGUACUGUAACAUGGAUUUGUAUUAGGCUAUGAAGUCAUUUAAAGUAUAACUUUACUUUUCAGGGGGACAUGCUCUCUAUCAGGAGGUGGUGGUUGGACUGCUGUUGGAGACCUUUAUGCUUGAAAGCCCUGCAGAACUAGCUGGCUCCUUCUCACCCUCUCCAUCUCCCCAUCUCAGUCACACCUUCCAAUCACUAAGCAGUGAAAGCCCUGCAGGACUAGCUGGCACACCAAGCUCACCCUCUCCAUCUCCCCAUCUCAGCCACACGCUCCAAUCUGGCACAACAGAGGACAGGCCAUUCUUACCACCCGAAGUCCUUCAGCAAAUUGUACAAGAGACGCUGAGACUGGACAUGGCGAUGCUUGGCGUGUUCAACAGGGUUUCAAACACAUUCCGAGAACUAAUCAAGCCUCUCCAUCCUUCAAUAUAUAAAUGACAGUUUGGCAGGGGACAUUAAGCUUAAUAAAGACAAUCUCAUAUACAUAACGGUUAGAAAGAUUUACAACAAUGCAGGCUGUGGCAGUGGCCUUGCGCUACGCCUCAAAGGCUUCUUAAAAAAGAAGAAUUGGCCAAGCGCACCCCUGGUACUGAGGCACGUUGCAUAUGGCAGGUUUGUCAUAAAAGAUGUCUGCAUAGCAUAAUGUUAUUUUAUUACUCCUUUUUCGUUUUAUUUGGGACGUCAUUUUUGCAAUCCCUUUCAUUUGUAAAUGUACAUACUACUGUAGUAAAUGUAUCUGCCCAGAAAUGCUGGUAUUUUAUUACUCCUUUCUUUUUUGUUUUUGUGACAAAUGCUAUACGAUGUAUAACAUACAUUUGUGCCUACGAUGUAUGUUGUAAGGUUAAUUGUUACAGAGCAAUUACUGUAUUUUGUCUUUAUUGAAAACAUUCAGUGGGAAAAGUAAGUGAACACUUGGAGUCAAAUGGCCCACUGUUUGAGCCUUCAUAGUGUCUGGUAACUGGAUUUGAACUGCAUAAGGUCCCAAGUGUUAUUUUAAUCUAUUCAUUAUUUAAUUUGGGCAUAUUCUUAAACAACUAUAUCAAACAUCUCACUUAUACCUAAUACCCUACCUAUACUAACCCAGAAGAUAAUGAGCAUGAGAUCAUGGAGCCUCCCUGUAAUGAUCGUGUUGCAUCAAGUUUGAUGCAAAGUUUGGGCCGAGAUCCGACACAUAAAUGUAAGUUAACAUUCUGUAGGCCUAGCUGGCUAACGUACCCGUAUUACGAGAUCGAAGAAGGGGACGCUAACGUCAGUUCUUUGCUGCCCAUACUACUAGAUCGACGAAGAAGAACGGGGCGUUCCAGCCUGCGUAAACGAGAACGCCCACCACACGAGAACGCCGGGGGGGCGUUUUAGUCUGCGUGAACGGGAACGCCCACGACACGGGAACGCCCAUUUGUGUCUGCAGUCGGAUGACAUUGCCCUCCCCCGCUCCCCGCGUGUGUCCCCUUCGUGCACGUACUCAAAGCUUGUGACCCAGUGCAAGCUUCUGUUUGUUGUUAUCCUGCGGUAGCUACUGGAGCUAGCUAACUAGGUAAUGGCUCGCUCUCAUCUG
Molecule: long non-coding RNA, 1973 nt
Organism: Gadus morhua (Atlantic cod)
Lineage: Eukaryota; Metazoa; Chordata; Actinopteri; Gadiformes; Gadidae
Source: Ensembl